GGGGAUAUAACUCAGUCCGGUUAGAGUAAUAGCAUUAUUUAACGUGUGGGUUCGAGUCCCACUACCA
Molecule: transfer RNA, 67 nt
Filed under: Chryseobacterium takakiae
Lineage: Bacteria; Pseudomonadati; Bacteroidota; Flavobacteriia; Flavobacteriales; Weeksellaceae
Description: tRNA_Thr_AGT
Rfam family: tRNA
About the family: Transfer RNA (tRNA) molecules are approximately 80 nucleotides in length. Their secondary structure includes four short double-helical elements and three loops (D, anti-codon, and T loops).
Source: RNAcentral